AGACCGAUAGCGAACAAGUAGAGUGAUCGAAAGAUGAAAAGCACUUUGAAAAGAGAGUUAAACAGCACGUGAAAUUGUUGAAAGGGAAGCGCUUGCAACCAGACUCGGCCUCGGGGUUCAGCCAGCAUUCGUGCUGGUGUACUUCCCCGGGGCCGGGCCAGCGUCGGUUUGGGCGGCCGGUCAAAGGCCCCAGGAAUGUAUCGUCCUCCGGGACGUCUUAUAGCCUGGGGUGCAAUGCGGCCAGCCUGGACCGAGGAACGCGCUUCGGCACGGACGCUGGCGUAAUGGUCGCAAACGACCCGUCUUGAAACACGGACCAAGACUCU
This 326-nucleotide ribosomal RNA is filed under the name Aspergillus sp. RNAcentral describes it as "partial large subunit ribosomal RNA". It matches the Rfam family "Eukaryotic large subunit ribosomal RNA", at positions 331 to 676 of the family's 3401-position model. The record is from RNAcentral. Lineage: Eukaryota; Fungi; Ascomycota; Eurotiomycetes; Eurotiales; Aspergillaceae.